UACGUAGGGUGCGAGCGUUGUCCGGAUUUAUUGGGCGUAAAGAGCUCGUAGGCGGUUUGUCGCGUCGGCCGUGAAAUCUCCACGCUUAACGUGGAGCGUGCGGUCGAUACGGGCAGACUUGAGUUCGGUAGGGGAGACUGGAAUUCCUGGUGUAGCGGUGAAAUGCGUAGAUAUCUGGAGGAACACCGGUGGCGAAGGCGGCAUCCUGGACCAACACUGACACUGAGGAGCGAAAGCCAGGGGAGCAAACGGG
This 253-nucleotide ribosomal RNA is filed under the name uncultured bacterium. RNAcentral's name for it is "partial 16S ribosomal RNA". It matches the Rfam family "Bacterial small subunit ribosomal RNA", at positions 524 to 776 of the family's 1533-position model. The record is from RNAcentral.